This 427-nucleotide ribosomal RNA is filed under the name uncultured bacterium. Its description in RNAcentral is "partial 16S ribosomal RNA". It matches the Rfam family "Bacterial small subunit ribosomal RNA", at positions 355 to 774 of the family's 1533-position model. The record is from RNAcentral.
UGGGGAAUAUUGCACAAUGGGCGCAACCCUGAUGCAGCCAUGCCGCGUGUAUGAAGAAGGCCUUCGGGUUGUAAAGUACUUUCAGCGGGGAGGAAGGGAGUAAAGUUAAUACCUUUGCUCAUUGACGUUACCCGCAGAAGAAGCACCGGCUAACUCCGUGCCAGCAGCCGCGGUAAUACGGAGGGUGCAAGCGUUAAUAGGAAUUACUGGGCGUAAAGCGCACGCAGGCGGUUUGUUAAGUCAGAUGUGAAAUCCCCGGGCUCAACCUGGGAACUGCAUCUGAUACUGGCAAGCUUGAGUCUCGUAGAGGGGGGUAGAAUUCCAGGUGUAGCGGUGAAAUGCGUAGAGAUCUGGAGGAAUACCGGUGGCGAAGGCGGCCCCCUGGACGAAGACUGACGCUCAGGUGCGAAAGCGUGGGGAGCAAACA